ACCAGACUCCUUACGGGAGGCAGCAGUGAGGAAUGUUGCGCAAUGGACGAAAGUCUGACGCAGCCAUGCCGCGUGCAGGAUGACGGUCCUAUGGAUUGUAAACUGCUUUUGUAUAGGAAGAAACUUAACUACGUGUAGUUGACUGACGGUACUAUAUGAAUAAGCAUCGGCUAACUCCGUGCCAGCAGCCGCGGUAAUACGGAGGAUGCAAGCGUUAUCCGGAUUUAUUGGGUUUAAAGGGUGCGUAGGCGGAAACUUAAGUCAGUGGUGAAACCCUGCAGCUUAACUGUAGCACUGCCAUUGAUACUGAGAUUCUUGAGUACGGUUGAGGUAGGCGGAAUGUGUAAUGUAGCGGUGAAAUGCUUAGAUAUUACACAGAACACCGAUUGCGUAGGCAGCUUACCAAGCCGCAACUGACGCUGAGGCACGAAAGCGUGGGGAUCGAACAGGAUUAGAUACCCUGGUAGUCCACGCUGUAAACGAUGAUCACUAGCUGUUGGCGAUAGAUAGUCAGCGGCAAAGCGAAAGCAUUAAGUGAUCCACCUGGGAGUACGGCCGGCAACGCUUGAAACUCCAAAGAAUUGACGGGGGCCCGCACAAGCGGAGGAACAUGUGGUUUAAUUCGAUGAUACGCGAAGGAACCUUUACCUGGGCUUAAAUGUAGAACGACGUUUCGGGAAACCGGGAAUUCCCUUCGGGGCGUUUUACAAGGUGCUGCAUGGUUGUCGUCAGCUCGUGCCGUGAGGUGUCGGGUUAAGUCCCAUAACGAGCGCAACCCUUAUCGUUAGUUGCCAGCGGGUAAUGCCGGGGACUCUAGCGAAACUGCCGGUGUAAACCGAGAGGAAGGUGGGGAUGACGUCAAAUCAGCACGGCCCUUAUGUCCAGGGCUACACACGUGUUACAAUGGUCGGUACAGAGGGCAGCUACUGGGUGACCAGAUGCAAAUCUCGAAAGCCGAUCCUAGUUCGGAUCGAAGUCUGCAACUCGACUUCGUGAAGCUGGAUUCGCUAGUAAUCGCGCAUCAGCCACGGCGCGGUGAAUACGUCCCGGGC
RNAcentral lists this ribosomal RNA (1052 nucleotides) under uncultured bacterium. RNAcentral's name for it is "bacterial SSU rRNA". It matches the Rfam family "Bacterial small subunit ribosomal RNA", at positions 330 to 1379 of the family's 1533-position model. The record is from RNAcentral.